RNAcentral lists this ribosomal RNA (497 nucleotides) under uncultured bacterium. RNAcentral's name for it is "bacterial SSU rRNA". It matches the Rfam family "Bacterial small subunit ribosomal RNA", at positions 34 to 518 of the family's 1533-position model. The record is from RNAcentral.
CGCUGGCGGCGUGCCUAACACAUGCAAGUCGAGCGGGGACAUGCGACGGAUAGGAAGUUUCGGAUGGAAUUGAAGAUGUAUGUUCUAGCGGCGGACGGGUGAGUAACGCGUGAACAAUCUGUCCUUCACAGGGGGAUAACACAGCGAAAGUUGUACUAAUACCGCAUGAGACCACGGUGGGGCAUCCCACAGGGGUCAAAGGAGCAAUCCGGUGAAGGGUGAGUUCGCGUCCGAUUAGAUAGUUGGUGAGGUAACGGCCCACCAAGUCGACGAUCGGUAGCCGACCUGAGAGGGUGAUCGGCCACAUUGGGACUGAGACACGGCCCAAACUCCUACGGGAGGCAGCAGUGGGGAAUAUUGCACAAUGGGCGCAAGCCUGAUGCCAGCAACGCCGCGUGAGGGAAGACGGUUUUCGGAUUGUAAACCUCUGUUCUUAGUGACGAAGAAGUGACGGUAGCUAAGGAGCAAGCCACGGCUAACUACGUGCCAGCAGCGGC